RNAcentral lists this unclassified non-coding RNA (226 nucleotides) under Ascomycota sp. Its description in RNAcentral is "partial contains small subunit ribosomal RNA, internal transcribed spacer 1, and 5.8S ribosomal RNA". The stretch from base 1 to 47 matches the Rfam family "Eukaryotic small subunit ribosomal RNA", at positions 1785 to 1831 of the family's 1831-position model. Lineage: Eukaryota; Fungi; Ascomycota. The record is from RNAcentral.
AAAGUCGUAACAAGGUCUCCGUUGGUGAACCAGCGGAGGGAUCAUUACAGAGUUGUCUCAACUCCCAAACCCCCUGUGAACAUACCUACGUUGCCUCGGCAGGCCGCCGCCCGACUCAGCUGCGGGCGGCCCUGCCGGCGGCCCACGAAUACUCUGUUCUCUCGUGACAUUCUGAAUUGUACACUAAAAUACGUUAAAACUUUCAACAACGGAUCUCUUGGUUCUG